CGCAGGAUAGAGCAGUUGGCAGCUCGUCGGGCUCAUAACCCGAAGGUCGUAGGUUCAAGUCCUACUCCUGCUA
This 73-nucleotide transfer RNA is filed under the name Spirochaetota bacterium. RNAcentral's name for it is "Spirochaetes bacterium (wastewater metagenome) tRNA-Met". It matches the Rfam family "tRNA". Rfam says of the family: Transfer RNA (tRNA) molecules are approximately 80 nucleotides in length. Their secondary structure includes four short double-helical elements and three loops (D, anti-codon, and T loops). Lineage: Bacteria; Pseudomonadati; Spirochaetota. The record is from RNAcentral.